AUGCAAGUCGAACGGUAACAGGCCUUCGGAUGCUGACGAGUGGCGAACGGGUGAGUAAUACAUCGGAACGUGCCCGAUCGUGGGGGAUAACGCAGCGAAAGCUGUGCUAAUACCGCAUACGAUCUACGGAUGAAAGCGGGGGAUCGCAAGACCUCGCGCGGACGGAGCGGCCGAUGGCAGAUUAGGUAGUUGGUGGGAUAAAAGCUUACCAAGCCGACGAUCUGUAGCUGGUCUGAGAGGACGACCAGCCACACUGGGACUGAGACACGGCCCAGACUCCUACGGGAGGCAGCAGUGGGGAAUUUUGGACAAUGGGGGAAACCCUGAUCCAGCCAUGCCGCGUGCAGGAUGAAGGCCUUCGGGUUGUAAACUGCUUUUGUACGGAACGAAAAGGUCCUUUCUAAUAAAGAGGGCUCAUGACGGUACCGUAAGAAUAAGCACCGGCUAACUACGUGCCAGCAGCCGCGGUAAUACGGGGGGUGCAAGCGUUGUUCGGAAUUAUUGGGCGUAAAGCGCGUGUAGGCGGUUUGAUUAGUCUGAUGUGAAAGCCCUGGGCUCAACCCAGGAAGUGCAUUGGAAACUGUCAGACUUGAAUACGGGAGAGGGUAGUGGAAUUCCUAGUGUAGGAGUGAAAUCCGUAGAUAUUAGGAGGAACACCGGUGGCGAAGGCGGCUACCUGGACCGAUAUUGACGCUGAGACGCGAAAGCGUGG
RNAcentral lists this ribosomal RNA (712 nucleotides) under uncultured bacterium. Its description in RNAcentral is "bacterial SSU rRNA". It matches the Rfam family "Bacterial small subunit ribosomal RNA", at positions 55 to 764 of the family's 1533-position model. The record is from RNAcentral.